CAGUCGCCACGGUAAUACGUAGGUGGCAAGCGUUGUCCGGAAUUAUUGGGCGUAAAGGGCUCGCAGGCGGUUUCUUAAGUCUGAUGUGAAAGCCCCCGGCUCAACCGGGGAGGGUCAUUGGAAACUGGGAAACUCGAGUGCAGAAGAGGAGAGUGGAAUUCCACGUGUAGCGGUGAAAUGCGUAGAGAUGUGGAGGAACACCAGUGGCGAAGGCGACUCUCUGGUCUGUAACUGACGCUGAGGAGCGAAAGCGUGGGGAGCGAACAGGAUUAGAUACCCCCGUAGUCCCUGUCUCUUAUAC
Molecule: ribosomal RNA, 301 nt
Filed under: uncultured bacterium
Lineage: Bacteria
Description: partial 16S ribosomal RNA
Rfam family: Bacterial small subunit ribosomal RNA
Source: RNAcentral